CUUGGUCAUUUAGAGGAGUAAAAGUCGUAACAAGGUUUCCGUAGGUGAACCUGCGGAAGGAUCAUUCAGAGUUCAUGCCCUUACGGGUAGAUCUCCCACCCUUUGAGUACUAUACUUUGUUGCUUUGGCAGGCCGCUUUGGCUACCGGCUUCGGCUGGUGAGUGCUGCCAGAGGACCCCAAAUUCUGAAUUAUAGUGUCGUCUGAGAACUAUAAAUAGUUAAAACUUUCAACAACGGAUCUCUUGGUUCUGGCAUCGAUGAAAACGCAGCGAAAUGCGAUAAGUAAUGUGAAUUGCAGAAUUCAGUGAAUCUCGAAUCUUUGAACGCACAUUGCGCCCCUUGGUAUUCCGGGGGGCAUGCUGUUCGAGCGUCAUUAUAACCCUCAAGCCUAGCUUGGUGUUGGAGCCUGCUCUGGGCAGCUCUUGAAAUCAGUGGCGGUGCCGUCUGGCUCUAAGCGUGUAACUUUUCUCGCUACAGAGUCCCGGCGGUUGCUUGCCAACAACCCCAAUUUUCUAUGGUUGACCUYGGWUCAGGUAGGGAUACCCGCUGAACUUAACAUAUCAAUAAGCGGAGGA
This 575-nucleotide ribosomal RNA is filed under the name uncultured fungus. Its description in RNAcentral is "eukaryotic LSU rRNA". The stretch from base 223 to 373 matches the Rfam family "5.8S ribosomal RNA". The record is from RNAcentral. Lineage: Eukaryota; Fungi.